This is a non-coding RNA of Pelobates cultripes (western spadefoot toad), 1481 nucleotides long. NCBI's taxonomy places the organism in Eukaryota, Metazoa, Chordata, Amphibia, Anura, Pelobatidae. The record is from the annotation of a GenBank genome assembly.
GGGGCAAAUAGUCGUAUAUGGAGUAAGGAUCCAGCAUAGACGUAGGAUAGUAUAAAGGGAGCAAGUCGGUUGUGGUGUGCCGAGACAGACGAUAUGGUAGGCCUGUAAAUAAAGAGGGCAAAAAUGAAUAAUCAAAGAUUUAAUACAGUCAACAAAUAUAUACAAAUUAACCAUUUCCUUAAAUGCAUUACAGUAAUUCCUGGAAGGAUUUUGAAGGUAGGAAUCUAGGACCGAAAGUGGACAACAUUUGUUGUGGGUAGAAUAGUAUGUUAUCUCUACUGUUGGUGCGUGUUGACUCGUUUCGGAAUGUGGUAGAGCCAAUAGGUAGUGAUCUAUGUGUUUACGUACGUGGGAUCGUUGAAGACAAUGAUCUGUCUAAGUGGUGGUGAUGGUAGUGGAUUCUCUGGCCUGAGAAAGGCAUAGAAGGCAAUGUGCAUGGCUGGUAAUGGCCGACUUGGUAGUAUAAUUGAAUGGUUGUAGAUCUAAUAGUUCCAAUAAGGAUGAAAAGUUGGAUGGCUAUUGGUAAUCUCUGAGAGGAACGUGGGGGAAUGGAUUUUAAUUGUCAUUUUAAGUUUAAGGCGGCAAAAAGAAACAAAACCUAGGAGAAAUGUUAUGACACAGGUUGAGCUAUGUCGUGUUCCAAUGAGAGUCUUUAAGACAGGUGAAAAGCUGUGUUAUGCAUUCUAAAAGUAUGGGACGAAAGUGCUAGGUGGGAUAGUGCAUGCUAUGCUGCAUGAGUAUGUCUAAUCUAUGAUUUUGUCUCUGGAACAAAAGAGUGUCCGUGACUGUAUGGGCGGCUGUAGGAAGCGUAUGAUGAACAUGCCUGGAAUAUAAAUGAGACAAUUGUCGGCAGGGAUGUAUACCCCCGCCUGGUACAUGAACGUAAAAGAAAUGUGAUAAGUUGCCAACCAAGUGAGUUCCCCAGAAUUAUCAUGACCUUAUGGAUGAGUAGUGACAUUUGUUGACGAUAUGACAUGUGCUUAGUUGUCUGAGUAACAACGGAUUGAUGAUCCUGACCAUGAUUUACCCCAUGCCACAGCAGAUGCUACAAUGGGGUAGAUCCCCCAAAGGGGCUGAGGUGGUGGAAAAAUUUCCAAACCUGGAUGCCAUGGCCAACAGCUCCAAAGCAAUCGCUCCCGGUAGAUCGCUGCCAAACCCGUGGUAGACGCCGCGUCUGACCAUCUGGUUGGAGAAGUGUCAGACAAUCCUGGAAGGAACAUGCUUUUACCAUGCCAAGUGGUUAAGAAAUCCCUCCCCAUGUGCAGGUCUGCUGUUGCUGGGGUGUCUAGGGAUAUCCUCUGAUCGUCAUGUUGCAAGUGUGGAAAAAAGGGGAAAGUACUCUGGAUGUGAAAGCGUGGUCUUGUGGUAUGAUUGGCAUGGCAAAAUUAAGGAACCUGGUAGGGAUUGAAGUUCCUUGCAGUUGUAAGUACUAAGCAGGAGGUAGUGAUUGAUGUUGUUGAGAAUGUUCCCUAUUUGUCUUG